AUGGAGAAAAUCAAAAUAAUUUAUACCACGCGAUUUCAUAACCCUAAGAAAACAAUAUCAACUCCAGAGCGCUCCACCUUAGCUACCAUUCUAAACAAACUGAACCUUACGAAUUAGGGCAGGAUUUCAAUUUUCUACGAAGCUCGUUUCUUCAAGCAGUUUCGCUAGGAUUAAGCGAAGCUCUAAGCGGGAAUGUCUCGUGCUUGUUUCAAUGCAUGCUUACGCAUCGAAGAUGCACAAGUCUUGACAAGAUAGAAACAUCUGAAGGAGCAGAGUUAACUGCCUUAGCUUUCCUUUAUGUUGGAAAUCUGGCAUCCAAACUGUUGGAGCCUAGCGACUUGAAGACGAUGCAUUUAAUAUCAGCACUUGAAGGCGAAAACUAUAGUAUAUAAUAUUUUUUGUUUGAUCAAAGAAUAUACAGUGAAGCAGCAAAGUAGCCAUAAGAUUGUAACCGUCCAUCAUCAAUAAGAAAAGCUUGAAAUUUUCAAAAGAUUUGCAGACCCAUCAAUAGGGUAAUGACAUCUUUAAAUAAAAAGGCAUGCUCUCAACUUCCCAGAGUAAGUUAUUAGGCAUGGGGCUGCUGAACAUCCAGGGAAUGUUUCUAUAACCUUGGAGCUAGGCGAUUGAGAGGAUGGUCCCAAUCGGCUACAAUGUGGGCACGAGUGAUUUCCUUGAGGGAACGGCAACCACUUAACGCCAUAGUAAGUUCAAACU
Molecule: long non-coding RNA, 714 nt
Filed under: Populus trichocarpa (black cottonwood)
Lineage: Eukaryota; Viridiplantae; Streptophyta; Magnoliopsida; Malpighiales; Salicaceae
Description: long non-coding RNA (PTRI_LNC000402)
Source: RNAcentral